RNAcentral lists this transfer RNA (73 nucleotides) under Williamwhitmania taraxaci. It matches the Rfam family "tRNA". Rfam says of the family: Transfer RNA (tRNA) molecules are approximately 80 nucleotides in length. Their secondary structure includes four short double-helical elements and three loops (D, anti-codon, and T loops). The record is from Rfam by way of RNAcentral. Lineage: Bacteria; Pseudomonadati; Bacteroidota; Bacteroidia; Bacteroidales; Williamwhitmaniaceae.
GCGGGAAUAGCUCAGUUGGUAGAGCACCAGCUUCCCAAGCUGGGGGUCGCGGGUCCGAAUCCCGUUUCCCGCU